CUCUACACAACACAGGCAGGUCCAGUCUCAAUCGUCUGGACAUGGAGAGACGGAUGUUGGAGCCAAAAUGGUGGCGGCCCUACUAUUGAAGUCACCACCUCCUCCCCCCGUCAACUCUUCUCGGCUCUCGCGCGGGAGCGCUCCGAUGCCGGCGCGCGCCUCGCUCAGCCGAGAUGCGCGCACACAGACACAGCAGAAGACUAAGUUCUGCCAAUCCUUCGUUUCCUCCUCGUUUGUGCACGAUUCGAACAGCAGACGCACCGCACAGCCAACGGGGCAACAACCUGUCCCCGUGGCGGCCACCGGCCAUUCGUCUGGCCGUCCUCUCCGGUCCCCGCUGCUCAGCUUUCGCCCCGUCGCUUGAGAGCUCACAGACGUCCACUCACAGACCCGAGCCCGUCUGCACUAACAGAACUGGGACAUCUCUCGGCCCCGUGUUG
Long non-coding RNA from Pseudoliparis swirei, 440 nucleotides. RefSeq lists it as uncharacterized. NCBI's taxonomy places the organism in Eukaryota, Metazoa, Chordata, Actinopteri, Perciformes, Liparidae. The record is from RefSeq and is a predicted model, not a curated record. The transcript is spliced from 3 exons.